CCUACGGGAGGCAGCAGUGGGGAAUAUUGGACAAUGGGCGAAAGCCUGAUCCAGCAAUACCGCGUGUGUGAAGAAGGCCUUCGGGUUGUAAAGCACUUUAAGCAGGGAAGAAAAAAUUCAAGCUAACAUCUUGAGUCUUGACGGUACCUGAAGAAUAAGCACCGGCUAACUCUGUGCCAGCAGCCGCGGUAAUACAGAGGGUGCAAGCGUUAAUCGGAUUUACUGGGCGUAAAGCGUGUGUAGGUGGUUGGGAAAGUCAAUUGUGAAAGCCCCGGGCUCAACUCGGGAACUGCUUUUGAUACUGUCUGACUAGAAUUCGGUAGAGGGAGGCGGAACUCCAGGUGUAGCGGUGAAAUGCGUAGAUAUCUGGAAGAACACCAAUGGCGAAGGCAACCUCCUGGGCCUGAAUUGACACUGAGACACGAAAGCGUGGGGAUCGAAACAGGAUUAGAUACCCUGGUAGUCCACGCCGUAAACGAUGACAACUUGACGUCGGUUUGCUCUGCGAAUCGGUGUCGUAGCUAACGCGAUAAGUUGUCCGCCUGGGGAUCGGCGCAAGGUUGAAACUCAAAGGAUUGACGG
RNAcentral lists this ribosomal RNA (582 nucleotides) under uncultured bacterium. Its description in RNAcentral is "bacterial SSU rRNA". It matches the Rfam family "Bacterial small subunit ribosomal RNA", at positions 338 to 916 of the family's 1533-position model. The record is from RNAcentral.